Molecule: non-coding RNA, 70 nt
Organism: Dipodomys ordii (Ord's kangaroo rat)
Lineage: Eukaryota; Metazoa; Chordata; Mammalia; Rodentia; Heteromyidae
Source: Rfam
UGGGAUGUAGCUCAGUGGCAAAGCGCUUGCCUAGCAAAUGCAACAUACUGGGUUCAAUCCCCCAUACCAA